GAGGAAGGCAAAGAAUAGAAACAUCAAGUCUUUCCGAAUGGCGAGCGGAUGAAUGGGUGCCCAACUCAGACGGGAAGUCUCGGCCGCUGUGAUGAUCAAAUAAUAUAUACAGAUUUGGAACAACUUGAGGCAUUCAGGAAAACGAAACCCGCUGCCAAGCAGGAAGAACGUCAGUGGCCGAAAAAGUCAUCGGGAGGAACUUGGAAAGAACACGUUUGAUGUCAGCGCCAGCAUAUUUUUGGGCCCGUGCAGAACAAAGGGCCCUGGUAUAUUUAGCGACGGUCAGGAAGCAGGCCGAGAGAAGGGCCCGGGGGUUCAGCGGAGACCUCGUCCACUUUCCCACACUUGCGGAACGGAAACAGGCGAUGACAACUACUCCACCAAGAGGCCCCAGGUCGCCCGUUAGGGGAGCCAUUGAGCUCAGAGGAAGGAAAAGGUUAUAUAGACCCCCCCCAUCAAUAUCCCAGCUUUCUAAGAGUGACCUGCAAUAGCUUUUUUUUCUCGUGGCCUCAUUUGCAUAUACACCCAUAUUCUGUACACAGCACAAUACAGCCUUUAUUUUUCACUAAUUGGCCUGCAAGUAUGACCUCACAAAGUCAAGUUUUCCGCAUUUAGCAAAUUGUUGCAGGCAAACACAUGGCGCAUCUCUGCAUCGUUCUGGAUACAUCUGUGCUCUAUCUACACAUGGCCUGUGUUGUUUGAUCCUGGCAUGCACUCAAGCUUGGCAUACUUUAGUGGCAUGCUUAUCCUAGACGCAUUUCCUCCUCAGGAAACACAGUAUUAGAUUGCUGUUUUAUUUAUUUUGUUGAUUCACACAGCUUGACUUCAGCAUGCUCAAGGGAUGAUGAAGCCUGCUAAAGCAUUUCCCGUUGCAUUCGCUGUUGUUCUUGUUGACUGAACAGAUCUUUUCCUAAUCUUUUAGUUUCUGCUAAUACUUACAGCUAUUAAUUUCGCCUGAUGUGGGGUAGAGCUCCAGGCUGAAGUGAGAUGCCCUAUUAUGUAAAAUAUCAAUAUUAAA
This is a long non-coding RNA of Triplophysa rosa, 1018 nucleotides long. RefSeq lists it as uncharacterized. The transcript is spliced from 3 exons. The record is from RefSeq and is a predicted model, not a curated record. Lineage: Eukaryota; Metazoa; Chordata; Actinopteri; Cypriniformes; Nemacheilidae.